This 429-nucleotide ribosomal RNA is filed under the name Acidobacteriota bacterium. RNAcentral's name for it is "Acidobacteria bacterium partial 16S ribosomal RNA". It matches the Rfam family "Bacterial small subunit ribosomal RNA", at positions 355 to 776 of the family's 1533-position model. Lineage: Bacteria; Pseudomonadati; Acidobacteriota. The record is from RNAcentral.
UGGGGAAUUUUGGACAAUGGGGGAAACCCUGAUCCAGCCAUCCCGCGUGUGCGAUGAAGGCCUUCGGGUUGUAAAGCACUUUUGGCAGGAAAGAAACGUCAUGGGUUAAUACCCCGUGAAACUGACGGUACCUGCAGAAUAAGCACCGGCUAACUACGUGCCAGCAGCCGCGGUAAUACGUAGGGUGCAAGCGUUAAUCGGAAUUACUGGGCGUAAAGCGUGCGCAGGCGGUUCGGAAAGAAAGAUGUGAAAUCCCAGAGCUCAACUUUGGAACUGCAUUUUUAACUACCGGGCUAGAGUGUGUCAGAGGGAGGUGGAAUUCCGCGUGUAGCAGUGAAAUGCGUAGAUAUGCGGAGGAACAACGAUGGCGAAGGCAGCCUCCUGGGAUAACACUGACGAUCAUGCACGAAAGCGUGGGGAGCAAACAGG